GCUGGGCACUGUGGCACAUACCUGUAAUCCCAGCAACUUGGGAGGCUGAGGCAGGAGGAUCACAAGUUCAAAGCCAGCCUCAGCAGAUUAGCAACUCAGUGAGACUCUGUCUCUA
RNAcentral lists this small RNA (115 nucleotides) under Marmota monax (woodchuck). Lineage: Eukaryota; Metazoa; Chordata; Mammalia; Rodentia; Sciuridae. The record is from RNAcentral.